UCUCAUCUCCUCCGUCUUACCAAAACCCCACAAACCAGAGUCCCCUUUAAUGGCCGUAGCCUGCGUCCAUGGCAGACCCGCCUGCCACACCUGCAAUUAUCUCCCCAAAUCAGCCCCUCCAACCCACAAAUCCUCUGAAGACUGAAAAAUCAGUCCUAAAUCUGUAUAACAACGGAAAAAGAGUCCCGAAUCGCCAGUAAUGGCUUCAAAAGAUGAAGAUUUGUUCAGAAUCUUUAAGAAAUUCAAAUCGUUUUCUUAACAUUUUGUUCAAAUCCAGACUUUGGAGUCCGGAUUUCAGGCUAUAAAUAGCCGAAUUUCACUUCCUACGGUAGGGCAGCGAAAAAACAAGGGAAAGAUUAGGAGAAAAAGCAAAAUCUUGCGAGAAGUAAAAAUUAGCAAAAAAAAAAAAAAAAGGAGAGAAGAAGCAAAUCCAAAAAAAAAAAACAGUGAGUGAAAGCUUCAAAUCCAUGAGAAAAACAGGAGUGAAAAAGAAGGAGAAAGGGGUCUCAAAUUUCUUAGUCUUCUGUCUGACUUUGUCUAAAUUUAAAGUUCCGAAGUUUGGGUUACUCUUUGGAAUCUCAACGUCGAAGCCUCAGGUUUGCUGCAACCUAAAAGGUGCGGGCCCACCCCUCUCUGGUUCUUGGUUUCGUUUCUUUUCUUCUCAUCUAUUUUUAGCUUUGUCGAAUAUAAGAGUCAUUUUGAUUUCGGAGCUAUGUUGUUACUGCUGCCCUGGCCUUGCAAAUAAGAGUUGUGGUUUGUGAAUCUGAGGAUUGUUUGGUGCUGAAUACAUGAGUUUAUGCAUGUGUUUAUCUCGUUCUUCGAAAAUUUCGAUGAGCAUGAUUUGGAUAUUAAAAGUUCAGUUUGUAUGUGAACGAGUUUGCGAGUAUAUGAAUAAGGCGUUUUCGUUCAAUCGGAUUUAAAGGUUCUUUGUCAAUUUUGAGAGAAAAAAUGAUUUCGAACAUGAAUUCUGAUCAAUUUUUUUUUUAUUGGGUCUAUAGUGAGUUUACACGUGAUUCUUUGAACCUGGGAAUGGAUUUGUAAGUAAAUGGAAAAACCAGUCCUUUAUUUCGUAUUACCUUUCAUUCGUCUUAAUUUGAUGGGUAAAUAAUGUGAUUGGUCCCGAACGUUGAAGUUUUGUUAAUAUGAAGAUAUUCCAUGUGCAAAUAUGGAAGUACGUAAGGCAUGAGAUAUAUGACUUUUCCAUGAAUUUAAGUUUGUCUCGAUUUCGGAUCCAUGGUUGAACAUGAAUUUGAUUCUAAAAAAAAAUAUAUUUUUGUCCACAAGUUUGUCAACAUAAAUCUGAUUUUUGACGUAAACAGGUAGAAAUAUUGUGGUUUGCUCUCUUAGAAUCAAGCUAAAAAUAUGAUCUCUUAUCGAUUUAUUUCAAUUGUUGACUGUUUGCACAAUUCAAUAAUUCGUUCUUAUCCUUGGUCCCAUUCUAUUUGUGGAUAUUGUGAUUUAGAGUAUUAAGUCAAUGUUGAGAUUGCAUUUUUGCCUAUGCGCCUAAAAGGUCAUAUGCCUAUUUUAUUCAUUGAAAAUUAAUAGCUCAUUUUACUGAUCAGUUAGCUCUUAUUUUUUCAGCAUGUAAACAUAAAUGUUUUCUACACUAGGAUCAAUAGGAUAGUGGGUGAACUUGAAUCAAAUAAGCUUCAUUUUUCUUUAGUGACUAAUCCCCAAUCAUUUGAAUUGUUGUUUGUUAAUUAGUUAUCAGCAUGUGAUAGCAAGAAAAGAAAUAUCCCAACUUGCACGAUAUAUGUAUUGUUAAUUAGUUAUCGGCAUGUGAUAGCAAGAAAAGAAAUAUCCCAACUUGCACGAUAUAUGUAGUGUUUUUGCUUCAACACAUGAAGGCUUGCUUUGCAAUGCCUUCGGUUCCUCUCAUUUAUAGAAUGAAUUUUUUACAAAAGUCUUUACAUUACUUACACAUUUUUUAAAAAUCCUAAAAAGUCUAUCCUAAAAAGUCUCCUUAUGAGACAAGAAUUAGUGUCAUAGGCUAAAAGGCUAAAAAGGCUACAAGAAUUAGUGCUAUAGCCUUAAAAAAGUUAAAAAGGCUAAAAAAAGGCUAAAAUCUAUGCAACAAUUCUAUACAACAAUUUUACGUAAAAAUUUAAUAUCUUGUCUUCUAUUAUUACUCCGUUGAUAUCUUCUCAUUAUCGUAUCUGCUGUUUUUCCAUAUCUCCAUUAUUGCUUCUUAUCUUAUCUUCCAGCUGGCAUGCUUAUUUUCUUGAUUCUUUUAUUCUAGGUGGACUUCUGGGAUAAUAUUAUCUUCUCCAUUACAUCUUGAACAUUGAUGGUCUAGAUAUUUAUGUCCAAUUAUCUUACAAUAUCUUGUCAAUAAUCCGUCUGAAAUAAAUCCUUUCUUAAUUGCUCUUGCAGUAGAUUGUUUUUUUGGGUUAAGUAAUGUCAUUAUCUAUUGCCUAACAUCUUCCAUAUCUGCUUGUCGUAGUUCUUUUGAAUUUGAAUAAAUCAUCUGAUGGUCUCUUGAAUAAUAGCUCCAUAUUGGGUUUCCAUUGGUAUAAUUAUUUGCUAAUUCUUGAAUAAUUGUAGCUAGUCCAAUGAGUCGUUUAUUUGCGUAG
RNAcentral lists this long non-coding RNA (2573 nucleotides) under Capsicum annuum. RNAcentral's name for it is "long non-coding RNA (CANN_LNC016457)". The record is from RNAcentral. Lineage: Eukaryota; Viridiplantae; Streptophyta; Magnoliopsida; Solanales; Solanaceae.